GCUGAAUCUGCUCAAGAAUUGAGUAGAAACAGAUAACAGAGCAGAUCUGGGGGAAAUAAAGCCUUUCUAACAGACCCAUUUCCUCAAUCAAUGGCUUCCAAAUUGAUUCUGAUUAUAGUUUUUGUACUCGACGUUAUUGCUUUUGGCCUGGCCGUUGCCGCUGAGCAAAGAAGAAGCACUGCCAACGUUGUGCAAGAUAAAGAAAAGGAAUACAACUAUUGUGUGUAUGACUCCGACAUCUCGACAGGCUAUGGAGUUGGUGCUUUUCUACUUCUCAUGGCCAGCCAGACCCUCAUAAUGGUGGCUAGCCGA
Molecule: unclassified non-coding RNA, 312 nt
Filed under: Hevea brasiliensis (rubber tree)
Lineage: Eukaryota; Viridiplantae; Streptophyta; Magnoliopsida; Malpighiales; Euphorbiaceae
Source: RNAcentral